Long non-coding RNA from Perca fluviatilis (European perch), 1153 nucleotides. RefSeq lists it as uncharacterized. NCBI's taxonomy places the organism in Eukaryota, Metazoa, Chordata, Actinopteri, Perciformes, Percidae. The record is from RefSeq and is a predicted model, not a curated record. The transcript is spliced from 4 exons.
CUUUCUGAUGGGCGUCCUCAGCGUCUUUUUUACUCUCAUCACAGACUCCAUGAUGCACCAGAGCUCUCAGGACAGGAGGGAAUGACCACACUACUACUUCUUGGACAGACGUUUGGUGGUAACAGUUGGUCAAAGGCUCACAGCAUAAAAUCCUGAUAAAGCUCCAGCCAGAUGGCCUCCACCACAACCAGACAAUCCCCAAAAGCUAUAGAACAAAUCAGAGAGAACAAGAAGAAACAACAACAGAAGACUCUCCAAAUGUUGUUCCUGUGCUCCUUGACCCUCACAGGAGUAAAUAACUAUGUGCAUGUCCAGGCUUAGCCUUUGCUUCUUCUGCUACCCUCCUCAAGACUCACUCCACUUUUCAACACCCCCCAACUCUAUAUGGAUUACCACUUAGAGGAAUUGAUGAGGGGAAUCUCAUUAGCUGUGGCAGAUGGAUACCUGAGAUACGGCAUGCUGUUCAGCCGUGCUGCUAAUUGCCUCAUAGGCCAAAUGUGGUCCUGCAGCAAAGAAACCUACUGCAGCGCUGGGUCUAUUGCAGAGAAAACACUACACCGAUGAUUCAUUAAAGUUUUGGCAGAGACACGGAUUCCACGGACCUUUUGGUUACGGUUAGGUUAAGUUGGUGCACAUGCUGACAGUGUGCACUGCAGGAGGGUGUCUUAGCCUGUUAUACCACCUGUUUAAGCCCUAUUCAGUGGUGGCCUCAGCCUCCUGCUCGACCCAACCAUACCUGCCUGCAUGGGUGUUGUGAUACUUUAAAAUAAAUUGGACUAAAAUGAAUGAACAAUUUGUUUAAAUUCACCUGACUCAUAGAUUUGAUGUACUUCAGUAGUCUUUUAUCUCAAGCAUGUUAAGUCACAAGAUUUGAACAUUUUGCAGUAAAUGUUUUGCUGAUAAGGUAUAACUGGAAAUACCUGUAUACCAGACUAUAUAUAUAUGUUCAAUCUUUGUAAAACCAACUACAAGGAACUUUUAUUUUUUGUUGAUUUUGGCGGCCUCCUGCAAUUCUCUCCAUCUGUUGAAUGACCGACCAAGGUUGACUCCUUUUUUGCCCCAGUAUAAGCCAUAACCACAAAAUAUAACGUAAAAAAUUUAUUAUCUAUAGAAAAAUCUCCUCCUGCUUCCUUUCAACUGGCUAACGUACUAC